RNAcentral lists this ribosomal RNA (393 nucleotides) under uncultured bacterium. Its description in RNAcentral is "partial 16S ribosomal RNA". It matches the Rfam family "Bacterial small subunit ribosomal RNA", at positions 523 to 918 of the family's 1533-position model. The record is from RNAcentral.
AUACGGAGGACGCGAGCGUUAUCCGGAUUCAUUGGGUUUAAAGGGUGCGCAGGCGGCCGUGCAAGUCAGCGGUGAAAGCCCGGGGCUCAACCCCGGAAGUGCCGUUGAUACUGCAUGGCUGGAAUGCGGUCGAGGCGGGCGGAACGUGGGGUGUAGAGGGGAAAUGCGUAGAUAUGCCACAGAACGCCGAUAGCGGAGGCAGCUCGCCAGGCCUGCAUUGACGCUCGGGCACGAAAGCGUGGGGAUCGAACAGGAUUAGAUACCCUGGUAGUCCACGCCGUAAACGAUGGGCGCUCGUCGUCGGCGGCAGACAGUCGGCGGCCAAGCGAAAGCGAUAAGCGCCCCACCUGGGGAGUACGGUCGCAAGGCUGAAACUCAAAUGAAUUGACGGGG